RNAcentral lists this ribosomal RNA (253 nucleotides) under uncultured bacterium. Its description in RNAcentral is "partial 16S ribosomal RNA". It matches the Rfam family "Bacterial small subunit ribosomal RNA", at positions 524 to 776 of the family's 1533-position model. The record is from RNAcentral.
UACGUAGGGGGCAAGCGUUGUCCGGAUUUACUGGGCGUAAAGCGCGCGUAGGCGGCACGAUCAGUCCGGUCUGAAAGCCCCCGGCUCAACCGGGGAGGGUGGCUGGAAACUGUCGUUCUUGAGGGCGAGAGAGGAGGGUGGAAUUCCUGGUGUAGCGGUGAAAUGCGUAGAGAUCAGGAGGAACACCCGUGGCGAAGGCGGCCCUCUGGCUCGACCCUGACGCUGAGGCGCGAAAGCGUGGGGAGCGAACAGG